AGCAAACAUUUGGGGUGCCUUUGGCUGAGAUGAUACCCAUUGAACCUGAUGCAGUUAGCACUGACGCAGGGAAAUGUCACAAUGGAUAA
This 89-nucleotide non-coding RNA is filed under the name Streptococcus sp. Its description in RNAcentral is "TPP sequence". It matches the Rfam family "TPP riboswitch aptamer (THI element)". From Rfam's summary of the family: Vitamin B(1) in its active form thiamin pyrophosphate (TPP) is an essential coenzyme that is synthesised by coupling of pyrimidine and thiazole moieties in bacteria. The previously detected thiamin-regulatory element, thi box was extended, resulting in a new, highly conserved RNA secondary structure, the THI element, which is widely distributed in eubacteria and also occurs in some archaea. Lineage: Bacteria; Bacillati; Bacillota; Bacilli; Lactobacillales; Streptococcaceae. The record is from RNAcentral.